GACGAACGCUGGCGGCGUGCCUAACACAUGCAAGUCGAGCGGGGUUGAAGCGAGAGGUAACUCGAACUUCUACCUAGCGGCGGACGGGUGAGUAACGCGUGGGCAACCUGCCUCAAGGUUUGGGAUAACAGCCCGAAAGGGCUGCUAAUACCGGAUAUGCCUAUGGCCUCGCAUGGGGCUAUGAGCAAAGGGGAAACCCGCCUUGAGAUGGGCCCGCGUCCCAUCAGCUAGUUGGUGAGGUAACAGCUCACCAAGGCGACGACGGGUAGCCGGCCUGAGAGGGUGACCGGCCACACUGGGACUGAGACACGGCCCAGACUCCUACGGGGGGCAGCAGUGGGGGAUCUUGCACAAUGGGCGAAAGCCUGAUGCAGCGACGCCGCGUGAGCGAAGAAGGCCUCGGUUGUAAGCUCUGUCUGGAGGGACGGAACAAAAUAGACGGUACCGUCCGGAGGAAGCCACGGCGUAACUACGUGCCAGCAGCCGCGGUAAUCA
RNAcentral lists this ribosomal RNA (495 nucleotides) under uncultured bacterium. RNAcentral's name for it is "bacterial SSU rRNA". It matches the Rfam family "Bacterial small subunit ribosomal RNA", at positions 28 to 525 of the family's 1533-position model. The record is from RNAcentral.